This is a non-coding RNA of Raphidocelis subcapitata, 72 nucleotides long. NCBI's taxonomy places the organism in Eukaryota, Viridiplantae, Chlorophyta, Chlorophyceae, Sphaeropleales, Selenastraceae. The record is from the annotation of a GenBank genome assembly.
UGAUCAGUGGCGCAGCGGUAGCGUGGUGGGCCCAUAACCCACAGGUCUCAGGUUCGAAUCCUGACUGAUCAU